This 1308-nucleotide ribosomal RNA is filed under the name Lamellibrachia donwalshi. RNAcentral's name for it is "16S ribosomal RNA". The stretch from base 813 to 1204 matches the Rfam family "Bacterial large subunit ribosomal RNA", at positions 2049 to 2651 of the family's 2925-position model. The record is from RNAcentral. Lineage: Eukaryota; Metazoa; Annelida; Polychaeta; Sabellida; Siboglinidae.
AACAUCUCAUAUCUCUAAAUUCCUCCUAUCCUAUAAAUAAAAGUCAACCCAAAAUCAUAUACUCCCAAUUCCCCAUUAUCUAAGUACUGCAAAGGAAAAUCCAAAAUUAUUUUAAAGUAAAAUUCAAAACCUGUACCUUGUGCAUCAUGGCUUAGCAAGUCUAUCCUAAACCUAGUCACCCCCGAAAUCUUUACGAGCUGAUAAAAAUUUGUAUCAGAACCCACUACCGCAUGUUUCAUAAUGCCUAGAAAAAUUUUAUCAGAGGCUACAUACCUACCGCGUAAGACUAUAGCUGGUUUUCCAAAAAAUUCACAUUAGUGAAACAAGAACAAAUCUUUGAUAAGUAAUAAAGGAAAAGCUCUAUUACUCUAGCUAGUAUAACAUUACACUCCCAAAAGUAGGCUUAGAAACUGCCAACUUUCAAAUAACGUUAUAGUAUAAAUACAAAACAUACUAAAUCCUAUAAUAUCCUGCUAACAAAUAUUGGAAAUCCUCUACCAACCAUUUUAAUCCUAAAAUCUGCUAAGAUUAGUAUUUAUUACCUCUAAAAUAUUUUUUAAAUUCUCCUCAUUUAUAAAUAAAACUUCUUUAUUGUAAGGAACUCGGCAAAUACAAGCUCCGACUGUUUAACAAAAACAUUGCCUCUCGACUCAACAAUGAGAGGUUCAUCCUGCCCAAUGACAACAUAGUUCAAUGGCCGCGGUACCCUGACCGUGCAAAGGUAGCAUAAUCACUUGCCCCUUAAUUAGGGGCUGGCAUGAAAGGACACACGAAAGCUUCCCUGUCUCACAAUAACAAAUAAAAAUUAAUCUUCAAGUGAAAAAGCUUGAAUGAAACUGCAGGACAAGAAGACCCCGUUGAGCUUUAUUCUCUAUAGACUAAAUCAAAUAUUAAAUAUAUCAUAAACCUAAAAAGAAUUUAGUUGGGGUGACUAAGGAACACCAAAAACUUCCUUUUAUUAGUUAGGAUCAUUCUCCCUACAAAUUGACCCAUUACACAUGAUCAAAAAAAUAAGCUACCACAGGGAUAACAGGCUAAUCUUUCUCAAGAGCCCAAAUUGUCAGAAAGGAUUGGCACCUCGAUGUUGGCUUAGGGGCCCCUAAUGGUGCAGAAGCCAUAAAUGGUAGGUUUGUUCAACCUUUAAAACCCUACAUGAGCUGAGUUCAGACCGGCGUAAGCCAGGUUAGUUUCUAUCCUCAUUCUUAACCCCUACAUAAUAGUACGAAAGGACCUUACUGUAGUAAAAUCUUUAAAAACCAUGAAAACAACUAAUCAAGUUUUAAAUUAAACCUAAAAGACAAAAUUCAA